AUGCAGAUCUUCGUGAAGACGCUGACCGGCAAGACCAUCACGCUCGAGGUCGAGAGCAGCGACACCAUCGACAACGUCAAGGCCAAGAUCCAGGACAAGGAGGGCAUUCCCCCAGAUCAGCAAAGGCUAAUUUUUGCUGGAAAGCAGUUGGAAGAUGGGCGAACAUUAGCUGAUUACAACAUUCAGAAAGAGUCGACGCUCCAUUUGGUCCUGAGGCUCAGGGGUGGAACUAUGAUCAAGGUGAAGACACUUACUGGGAAGGAAAUCGAGAUUGAUAUUGAGCCCACUGACACAAUUGAUAGAAUCAAGGAACGUGUUGAGGAGAAAGAGGGUAUUCCACCUGUUCAACAGAGGCUCAUCUAUGCUGGGAAGCAACUCGCUGAUGACAAAACUGCUAAGGACUACAACAUUGAAGGUGGUUCAGUGCUCCAUCUUGUGCUUGCUCUGAGGGGCGGUCAGUAG
RNAcentral lists this ribosomal RNA (462 nucleotides) under Triticum aestivum (bread wheat). RNAcentral's name for it is "partial small subunit ribosomal RNA". The record is from RNAcentral. Lineage: Eukaryota; Viridiplantae; Streptophyta; Magnoliopsida; Poales; Poaceae.